CCUACGGGUGGCAGCAGUGGGGAAUCUUUGGCAAUGGGCGCAAGCCUGACCCAGCAACGCCGCGUGAAGGAAGAAGGCUCUCGGGUUGUAAACUUCUUUUCUCAGGGACGAAGAAAGUGACGGUACCUGAGGAUUAAGCCACGGCUAACUACGUGCCAGCAGCCGCGGUAAUACGUAGGUCGCAAGCGUUUUCCGGAUUUACUGGUUGUACAGGGCGUGGAGGGGGGGAAGCCAGUCAGUUGUGAAAACCACGGGCUCCACCUGCGGCCUGCAUUUGAAACUGUUUUUCUUGAGUACUGGAGAGGCAGACGGAAUGCGUAGUGUAGCGGUGAAAUGCGUAGAUAUUAGGAGGAACACCAGUGGCGAAGGCGGUCUGCUGGACAGCAACUGACGCUGAAGCGCGAAGGCGUGGGGAUCAAACAGGAUUAGAUACCCCAGUAGUC
This 443-nucleotide ribosomal RNA is filed under the name uncultured bacterium. RNAcentral's name for it is "partial 16S ribosomal RNA". It matches the Rfam family "Bacterial small subunit ribosomal RNA", at positions 338 to 795 of the family's 1533-position model. The record is from RNAcentral.